This 735-nucleotide ribosomal RNA is filed under the name uncultured bacterium. RNAcentral's name for it is "bacterial SSU rRNA". It matches the Rfam family "Bacterial small subunit ribosomal RNA", at positions 140 to 851 of the family's 1533-position model. The record is from RNAcentral.
GGGACAACAUUCCGAAAGGAGUGCUAAUACCGGAUGUGAUCAUCUUGCCGCAUGGCAGGAUGAAGAAAGAUGGCCUCUACAAGUAAGCUAUCGCUAAAGGAUGGGCCUGCGUCUGAUUAGCUAGUUGGUAGUGUAACGGACUACCAAGGCGAUGAUCAGUAGCCGGUCUGAGAGGAUGAACGGCCACAUUGGGACUGAGACACGGCCCAAACUCCUACGGGAGGCAGCAGUGGGGAAUCUUCCGCAAUGGACGAAAGUCUGACGGAGCAACGCCGCGUGAGUGAUGAAGGAUUUCGGUCUGUAAAGCUCUGUUGUUUAUGACGAACGUGCAGUGUGUGAACAAUGCAUUGCAAUGACGGUAGUAAACGAGGAAGCCACGGCUAACUACGUGCCAGCAGCCGCGGUAAUACGUAGGUGGCGAGCGUUGUCCGGAAUUAUUGGGCGUAAAGAGCAUGUAGGCGGCUUAAUAAGUCGAGCGUGAAAAUGCGGGGCUCAACCCCGUAUGGCGCUGGAAACUGUUAGGCUUGAGUGCAGGAGAGGAAAGGGGAAUUCCCAGUGUAGCGGUGAAAUGCGUAGAUAUUGGGAGGAACACCAGUGGCGAAGGCGCCUUUCUGGACUGUGUCUGACGCUGAGAUGCGAAAGCCAGGGUAGCGAACGGGAUUAGAUACCCCGGUAGUCCUGGCCGUAAACGAUGGGUACUAGGUGUAGGAGGUAUCGACCCCUUCUGUGCCGGAA